Molecule: transfer RNA, 84 nt
Filed under: Elusimicrobia bacterium GWA2_61_42
Lineage: Bacteria; Pseudomonadati; Elusimicrobiota
Also listed under: 3 other names
Description: tRNA-Leu
Rfam family: tRNA
About the family: Transfer RNA (tRNA) molecules are approximately 80 nucleotides in length.
Source: RNAcentral
GGGCUUGUGGCGGAACUGGUAGACGCGACGGACUUAAAAUCCGUUGGCCGCAAGGCCGUGUGGGUUCGAGUCCCACCAUGCCCA